GAACCUAUACCCCCAUCCCUCCUGCCUCUCACCCCAAAGGACUUCUUAGGCUCCUGGCAUCCACAAACACUGAUAAAACUGCCACUGGGAGCAGACUGUAGGACAGAGGGUUUGGGUGGUGAGAAUAGCCCACUGCUAGGGGGGUAGGUAGGAAAAGUCCAGCCCUGAGACUGGGGCUAGCAACUGGGCCUUCUCAGCUCUGGGGCUGUGCUAUAUAAAAGUUUGAUUCACUGGUCUAACCUAGAUUGAUCUGAUUUGAGUGCACAUCAAUAUUUUAGAUGAGUUUCCACCAUUUUUAGACCAGUCAAUGCGCACUGAACUUUUGUGCCACCUAACUAGGGAUCUAAGGUCCAUACCUGGGUGAACUAAGUUAGAUUGGGUGGCCAUUUUUUAAGGCAAUCUAACCUCACCCAACCCCCCUGAAAGUCUGUACUUAGCCUCAGUGUCUUCACUCAAAGCUCCAUAGACCACCAGACAUUUAUUUUUUCAUAGUAUGUUGACAACAAAGGCAUUUGUCAAACCCACAACCAUGAGCUGAGGGGAAAUGCAACUCAGCGGAAGCACAACUGUCUACUGAUUGUGCUGAAGGAGAAUUGCAGCACGCUUCUAUUUUUUUGUUACAUAACCGGCAGCUCUUUUGUCUCUACUUAGAGUUUUUCCAGGCCUGUCUCUGCAUGGACUUGCAGAGUGCUCUGUAGGGUUUUAGCUGCAUGACUUUCACUGACAAUCAGAACCUGUGUGACAGUCUCAACAUAAAGCUUUCAGAAUGUACUAGUGAAUCUUGGGCUUGAAAGCACUUGCCAGGUAGUGGGACAUUUGGCCUUAUGCUUGCUUCAGCCUGGCCUAAAAUUUGGUUUAAUCUAUUUCAUUGGCAAAUACAGGGCAAAUGUUUUAGCUAGAUGAGUUGAUUUCCCUAGUUUUGUUUUGUGGGAUUUAUUACUUGCAUUGUCAGGGCAUUUGGGAUCCUGGGGUGUUGGGUUCUGUGCAAACAAGACAAAAAGAUAGAUUGGUCUUGCUCGAAUGGGCUUCUGAUUUGUGACUACCCUCUGCCUGUUGUACUAACUUAUACCUGCAGCUGAGGUCAGUCCAUACCCUGUGUGUUCUGAAAUCGCUCUCUCUCUGUGAAGCAGACCAUUCACCUUUUGUCCCCAGAAACUACUCUGUGGAUAUUAGGCUGUCUAUGAUAGCACCAUGGUUUCACCAUACUUAAUCAUUUCUGCUCUUGUUUCCUCAGCUUUGGUAGUCUCAUAGAUUCACUUGGUGUUUUUCUGCCUGCAGGUUUUUCUAAACAGAAGUAUUCAAAAGCUCUUCUGGAAGGCUCUCAUGCUGUAGUGAUUGGCACUACAUAUAGAACCUAUAUAGAACCUGUAUAGAACAGCAGUCACUCUUGUGGCUGCAACCAGAAGUGUGUGUAUGGCAGGAAACUAGGUAUUUAGCCUACUCAGAGCUCUGCUUUACCACGGCUUGACUGCCAGCAGCAUUUAAGCUGAUUAACUGUAAGUUAGUUUAUGAGCUAUUGUCACUGUUGUGACCACAGUCUAGACAUACCCUAAGAUAAGAUGUGAACAGCAGGUGCAAGCAAACAUAGGACAGAGCCAGAGAACAUAAAGAUGAAGGUAGACUGAAUUAUGUAUGCCAUUACAGAUGCAGUUGGGAAGGGAAUCCCAGGUGUGGAGGUCCAUGAAGGGAAGUGGAUGUGGUAAAAGAGCACAAAGGAGGCAGUGAAAUGAACAUGGACUGAGAAAAGAUUUGAGAGGGAGAGAAAAAGGAAACAAAUGCAGAGGAGUAAGAGAUAUUUUGCAAUAUCUUUUAUUGGACCAAUUUUAUACUAGGAAGCUAGUAUUAGACAAGCUUUUGGGCACAAGUUGCUUUUCCUCAGGUUGAAGUAAGGGGGAAUUAACUUGUACCAAGAAAUGAGGCUUGAGUUUGCUGCAGGAGGCAAGAAGGAGCUAGUAGGUGGGUUUUAGAAGGGGCUGUCAACAGCCAUAGCAUCAGGUGAAGCAGACGGAUUUUCUUGGACAGAUUAGCAGUGAGAGUUGGGGAGGUCAGAGAGGAAGAGGCAUUCGAGAAGUUUUGAGGUAACGAGAGCAUAGGCAUGUGGCUUGAAUGGAGCAAAUUGAGAGGAAAGGAUGGAUUUGAGAGAUGCUUCAGCCAGCAAGAUGUAAUGAUAACAAUUAUGUGGGAAAGAGAAAUUGAGUAGCACCAAGGCUGCAAACCUAUGGACCAUAGAGGGUGCUGGAAUAGGCAGAAAUUAAGUAAGAAGGGGUAGGAGGGUUAACUUUUGAAAAAAAAAGGUUAACUUUGGACACCUUGGGUUUGCACUGGCAAUGGGCUUUCCUGGGGGAGAUAACAUAGAUACAGUUGGGGGAUGUAACAGGGAACCCUAGCCCUGUUACCAGAAGGCAGGUCAGCCCUUUUAAAACCAGAACUUUCUGGGCACAGCAUGCUGGUAAGGCGGGGGGUUAAAAGCUGAGCUUGGCCAGCUAGUCAGCCGACCAGAAGGGGACAGGCCAGGACUAUAAAAACCCUGGUCUGGGCAGCAGUAGAUCCCAGCAGUCAAAGGGGAAAGAGUGUGUCCCAGAGCUCCCCGGAGAGUGGUCCAGUGGCUGCAGGACCACUGAGGACUCCCGGAGAAGCAGCAGCAAUCCCAGAAGGACUGUAGCAGACGGCGGGGGAGCAGAAGCAUGAACCCCUGAGAAACUGUAAGUUGGCAUGCUGCCUUCUUUAAUCAUAUUUUCUUGGUGGUGGUUAUAGCCCAUGGACAGGACGGUUCAUAUUUUCUUUUUUUGUUAUUGAACAACACUGGUGGUUUGGGUGAGGCUAUUGGGGAAGGAGGUGGCCUCAUUGGAGCCCCACUAUAGCGUGGGAACUCUGGCGGGGCAUAGGCUCAGCACCAGAGAGGGCAAACCUGAAAGGCCAUGGUGGCCUGGUACACCCAGGGUGCGACUGUGUAUGUGGUGUUUUUUUUUUCUUCUCUGAACUGGGACAUUGGAGGUCUGGGGCCUUUGCCCAGCUUUGAACUUGUGACCCCCCCAGCUGUGGGGCCAGUGGACAGGCCUCUGGGCCAGGGAGGCUGUGCUGCAGAUUAGAGCCAAAAAGAGGGCCAUGAGCCCCAAGACUAAAGAGCUAGAGCCUCGGAGUCAAACCCUAUCUGGUGGGUUUAGAUGGGGAGGCUUAGCUAGAGAAAGACUGGGGUCAAGGCAAGUGUUGGCAGAGGACCCCAACAUACAAAAACAAUAGGCAGUCCCCCGCUUAUAAUAUUUCCAUCACGGCGUGGCAGACGAAUAGAGAGUGGGAAACCUUAAGGAGACUCCAAGGGCACUCCAACAUAGGGUGCGGAUAAUGCAAAAUAUGGCGCUGGGGAGGGCGACCUGUUACAGGGGGCAUAUCUUAACCGUGGGAAAGACCUAAUUCCCUUCUAACUCAUGCAGUCCUGUAGCCCCUGCAUUCAGAUAGUAUAUUUGGGGCCAGUGCUGUCAGCUAGUUCUCCAAACUGUUUAAUGAAAUAUACCUCACUGUUUGAUUUCACCAUGCUGUCCUGUGACCUUUACUUAUAUAAACCAUAACAUUUGCUAUGCCUCUUCUCUAUACUACAAACUCAUUUCAUUUCUCAAAUCUAAACUUAACCAACCACAAAACCUAGCUACUUCCAGUGUGUAAUGGUCUACCUGUACCUAAACUAGUCAUCAGCUAAACCGACAGCUGAAUCAAGGUAAGCUGGGCAGGGCAGGGAGGAAGAGGGAGAUGGAGGUAGGCCAGCUGUAGGGAAUCAGGAAGGGGUUUUCCUCCCCUACCACCCCUAUUUGGCUGCGCUGGGUGGGUGCCGCACUCCCGAGCCAUGUGAACAGGCCCUGCAAACAGAUGUGUUCUUUAGGGGCAUGCCGGAGUUUGUGUGGGAGUGGGCACGGGUGAGGAGUAACCAGGAGAGUAACAGGCCCCUAGGGGGAGAGGGGACCACUUACCGGGGAUCCAGGGGUGACGGUAGCUCCUCCUGGGGGCAAAGUUCCCUUGGGGGAGGGGCUGCUGGCAGACUCUUCUGCGCAAGUGCAGGGCUAGCCACACCUACACGGAACAGCUGAGAACAGCUGAGUGGCUGUUAAAAAAACCGUGGGAGAUUCAAAUCCCUGCCAGUCAGGCUUGAAUGCUGAAGAAGGCACAGGUGUGUGUCAGCAAACAUGAGCCCUUGGCUCCUCCCAACCACAUCAAGCAGAGUAGCGAGCAAGGAGCUGACAGCUGAAUCAAGAUAAGCCAGGCAAGGCAGGGAGGAAGAGGGAGAAGGAGCCAGGCUAGCUGGGCGAGCUAUAGGGAAUCGGAAAGGGGUUUUCCUCCCCUUCCGCCCCUAUUUGGCCAUGCCAGGUGGGAGCCAUGUGAACAGGCCCCGCAAACAGGCGUGCUCUUUAGGGAUGCGCCAGAGUUUGCACGGGAGUUUCCACAGGGGGGCGAGCAGCUGGGGCCUGAGACUCCACGUGUUAGAGUCAACGGCUUUGGACAGAGUCUCCAGAGUUUUUAGGUGAGUGCACAUGAGGGAGUGUUAAUGGGGAUGGUGACUCGGAGUGCAGCCAGGGAUCCUGUUCCAAUGCUGCCUCCUGCUCAGGGCUCCUCUGAGGCCUCCACCCAGACAGAGCCUUUGGGUGGGUCAGUGGCACCCAGGUCCCCUGCCUGAAGGGAUGCCUGGCGGGUUCUUAGGAGCCCAGGGGCAGUGGGAUGGCCAGGAGUCCCCUCACCUGUCCCACAUGUGCCCAGACUCAGGCCCUGGAGGGGCAGGUGAGAGAACUCCAGACAGAGGUUGGUAGACUGUGUGGGAUCAGAGCCAUUGAGGAUGAGAUUGAUGGGUACUUCCACCCUUUGCAGGAUCACUCAAAUGGUGAGAUGGCAACAAAAGAGGGACCUGACACAGGCAGAUGGAAGGCAGUCACCUCUAGUUCUAGACGAUGCAGAAUUAGACCUUGCAUUGCUGGAACAACUCCAGUGCAGCUGGGGAACUGAUUUGGGGCCCUGGCAUUGCUGGAAAUGAGUGCAGCUAUGGAAGGUGCAGUAAUGGAGGCCACACCCACAACUACCACCAAGCAGGCUUUGAGGCAGCAGAGCAACCAGAGGAGAAGACAUCGGGCCAUGGUCCAAGGAGGCAAGAAUGCAUCGAUGAGGUGAACUGGCAUCUCCAACAGUGGUGCCACCAAGAAGGCUUCGGCUCCUAUGACCACGAUGCCCACUUCAAGGACAGAGGACUCCUGGGGAGAGAUGGCAUCCACCUCAUGCGGAAAACCUUUCAGCAAAUGGAGUUGCAACACAGAAGGAAGGCCUGAGUCCAUGUGGAUGGUAUUUCUCCAGGUGCCUUUUAUCUGCAAUCAACAGAGCUGCACUGAUAGAAAACCAGAGGGACAAAGUACUAGUUAACUUUUUUUUCCUUUGUCUCUAAUAAUUAUUUUUCUUUACCCCGCUGCUCCCUAGUGCAUGCAUUUGUCUUGGCUUCUGUAGAGACCAGAUCAAGGAGGUUUAAGAGUGUUUGUUAAAACAAAAAUGUACUUUAUCUUUUCCAGGCAAUAACUGUUUUAAGCUUUGUUCUCCCUUUGCAAUAAACCUUCCAAUAUUUCACAUAAACUCCAACCUCAUGGUUCUAAAG
Molecule: long non-coding RNA, 5620 nt
Organism: Alligator mississippiensis (American alligator)
Lineage: Eukaryota; Metazoa; Chordata; Crocodylia; Alligatoridae
Exons: 3
Source: RefSeq, a predicted model, not a curated record